UAGAUACCCUGGUAGUCCACGCCGUAAACGAUGUCUACUUGGAGGUUGUGGCCUUGAGCCGUGGCUUUCGGAGCUAACGCGUUAAGUAGACCGCCUGGGGAGUACGGUCGCAAGAUUAAAACUCAAAUGAAUUGACGGGGGCCCGCACAAGCGGUGGAGCAUGUGGUUUAAUUCGAUGCAACGCGAAGAACCUUACCUACUCUUGACAUCUAGAGAAGCCAGCGGAGACGCAGGCGUGCCUUCGGGAACU
This 250-nucleotide ribosomal RNA is filed under the name uncultured bacterium. RNAcentral describes it as "partial 16S ribosomal RNA". It matches the Rfam family "Bacterial small subunit ribosomal RNA", at positions 779 to 1028 of the family's 1533-position model. The record is from RNAcentral.